GAUGAACGCUGGCGGCGUGCUUAAUACAUGCAAGUCGAACGGACGGGCGCUACUCUUGCGGUGCGCUUGUUAGGCGAACAGGUGAGUAACACGUGUGUAACCCGCACCUGUCUUUGUGGUAACUUUAGGAAACUGGGGCUCUUAUCGGGUAGAAGAUUUUGCAGCACGGUGUGGGAUGGAAAGUUUCGGCGGUUUGGGAUGGAUUCGCGGGUUAUCAGCUUGUUGGUGGAGUAGUUGCUUACCAAGCCUAAGACGGGUAGCCGGCCUGAGAGGGUGGCCGGCCACAUGAGGACUAAGAGACGGCCCAGACGCCUACGGGAGGCAGCAGUGGGGAAUAUGGCAGAAUGGGCGGAAGCCAGAUACAACAACGCCGCGUGCGGGAUAACCGCCUUCGGGUGAUAAACCGCUGUCUCCGUAGACGAGGCGUGAGUGACGGUAACGAGUAAGAAAGCAACGGCUAACUACGUG
Molecule: ribosomal RNA, 468 nt
Filed under: uncultured bacterium
Lineage: Bacteria
Description: partial 16S ribosomal RNA
Rfam family: Bacterial small subunit ribosomal RNA
Source: RNAcentral